UACGAAGGGGGCAAGCGUUGUUCGGAAUAACUGGGCGUAAAGGGCGUGUAGGCGGUCGAUCAAGUUAGGGGUGAAAGCCCGGGGCUCAACCUCGGAACUGCCCUUAAAACUGAUUGACUAGAAUCCCGGAGGGGAGUGUGGAAUUCCUAGUGUAGAGGUGAAAUUCGUAGAUAUUAGGAGGAACACCGGUGGCGAAGGCGACACUCUGGACGGGCAUUGACGCUGAGGCGCGAAAGUGUGGGGAGCAAACAGG
This 253-nucleotide ribosomal RNA is filed under the name uncultured bacterium. RNAcentral's name for it is "partial 16S ribosomal RNA". It matches the Rfam family "Bacterial small subunit ribosomal RNA", at positions 524 to 776 of the family's 1533-position model. The record is from RNAcentral.